RNAcentral lists this ribosomal RNA (113 nucleotides) under Psychrobacter sp. 230. RNAcentral's name for it is "partial 16S ribosomal RNA". It matches the Rfam family "Bacterial small subunit ribosomal RNA", at positions 1425 to 1533 of the family's 1533-position model. The record is from RNAcentral. Lineage: Bacteria; Pseudomonadati; Pseudomonadota; Gammaproteobacteria; Moraxellales; Moraxellaceae.
AGUGGAUAGCUUAACCUUCGGGGAGGCGUUCACCACGGUGUGGUUGAUGACUGGGGUGAAGUCGUAACAAGGUAGCCGUAGGGGAACCUGCGGCUGGAUCACCUCCUUAUAGA